Molecule: non-coding RNA, 313 nt
Organism: Pelobates cultripes (western spadefoot toad)
Lineage: Eukaryota; Metazoa; Chordata; Amphibia; Anura; Pelobatidae
Source: the annotation of a GenBank genome assembly
GUGAGGGAGGGGGUGACUAGUGACAGAGGGAGGGUGUGACUAGUGACAGAGAGAGGGAGGGGGUGACUAGUGACAGAGUGAGGGAGGGAAGGGGUGACUAGUGACAGAGUGAGGGAGGGAAGGGGUCACUAGUGACUACCUCCCUCUGUCACUAGUCACUACCUCCCUCUGUCACUAGUCACUCCCUCCCUCUGUCACUAGUCACUCCCUCACUCUGUCACUAGUCACUCCCUCACUCUGUCACCAGUCAUCCCCUCACUCUGUCACCAGUCAUCCCCUCACUCUGUCACUAGUCACCUCUUCCCUCCCUCAC